CUCCAACGACGAACUCGCACCUCAUCGCGGUGUUGGAGUCUAGUAGCCGUAAUGGUGAAGCUAAGAUGAGU
This 71-nucleotide non-coding RNA is filed under the name Aspergillus terreus NIH2624. The record is from RNAcentral. Lineage: Eukaryota; Fungi; Ascomycota; Eurotiomycetes; Eurotiales; Aspergillaceae.